GGGGAUGUAGCUCAGCUGGGAGAGCAUUACACUGGCAGUGUAAGGGUCAGGGGUUCGAGUCCCCUCAUCUCCACCA
Molecule: transfer RNA, 76 nt
Filed under: Chloroflexota bacterium
Lineage: Bacteria; Bacillati; Chloroflexota
Also listed under: 1 other name
Description: tRNA-Ala
Rfam family: tRNA
About the family: Transfer RNA (tRNA) molecules are approximately 80 nucleotides in length. Their secondary structure includes four short double-helical elements and three loops (D, anti-codon, and T loops).
Source: RNAcentral